RNAcentral lists this ribosomal RNA (462 nucleotides) under Streptococcus sp. oral taxon 064. RNAcentral's name for it is "bacterial SSU rRNA". It matches the Rfam family "Bacterial small subunit ribosomal RNA", at positions 28 to 474 of the family's 1533-position model. Lineage: Bacteria; Bacillati; Bacillota; Bacilli; Lactobacillales; Streptococcaceae. The record is from RNAcentral.
GACGAACGCGGGGGCGUGCUUAAUACAUGCAAGUAGACCGCUGAAGAGAGGAGCUUGCUCUUCUGGGUGAGUUGCGAACGGGUGAGUAACGCGUAGGUAACCUGCCUGGUAGCGGGGGAUAACUAUGGGAAACGAUAGCUAAUACCGCAUAAGAGUAGAUGUUGCAUGACAUUUGCUUAAAAGGUGCAAUUGCAUCACUACCAGAUGGACCUGCGUUGUAUUAGCUAGUUGGUGAGGUAACGGCUCACCAAGGCAACGAUACAUAGCCGACCUGAGAGGGUGAUCGGCCACACUGGGACUGAGACACGGCCCAGACUCCUACGGGAGGCAGCAGUAGGGAAUCUUCGGCAAUGGACGGAAGUCUGACCGAGCAACGCCGCGUGAGUGAAGAAGGUUUUCGGAUCGUAAAGCUCUGUUGUAAGAGAAGAACGAGUGUGAGAGUGGAAAGUUCACACUGUGACG